Molecule: long non-coding RNA, 1071 nt
Filed under: Homo sapiens (human)
Lineage: Eukaryota; Metazoa; Chordata; Mammalia; Primates; Hominidae
Description: non-protein coding lnc-TWIST2-3:1
Source: RNAcentral
GGAACAGCCCCAGAGUGGGCAGAUGCCGCGCCCGCAUAAAGCGGCAGGGGCCAGGAGGAAAGGGCGGCAGAAUGGACGCCACGGACGGUAAGCUGCCGCCCAUGGAUGGGAACACCAGGUGCAGACCAGCUGGGGUAGGGCCACGGCAUCCAUGGCUCUCCAGGUGUGUGCCCACGUGCCCUAUGUGUCACCUGGCCCCACUGCCCACUGCCACGUGCAUGUGCCUCUGCCUAGCUUGGGAGGCAGCUCAUGCUAAGCAAAGGUGUGCACGAGGUCUUCCCGUCUAUUCUUAACCUUCACCCAGAGGCACCACAGAGGGACUCUGCUCCAAACCAAGAGUGUGCUCCUGCCCCCUGCCUCCCCACCGCACCCCUGUCCUGGCGCAGAGCCCUGGAUCAGGCAUUCGGCACAGCUCAGGUGAGCUCUAAUGCUCACUGACAGCUGCCUCAGGUGACCAGAAAGCUGGGCCUGGGCAACAUCUCUUCACCUUCCUCGGCCAGGUAUUAAAGAGAAUAAGGAUCAUGACCCACGCUCCCAGUGCCAGAAAACUAGGUUCCUUUCCGUGUUAGUUCCUCCCUGAAAGGAAGAGUCACACUAUCAACUAAACAGCUCUGAAAACUCUCUCCUAUCCACUGUGCUCUCCAUAGCACAAGUCACAUGGACACACACACACACACAAGCACACGAAAAAGAGGCCAGCCUUGCUAGUGUAAAAAAAAAAAAAAAAAAAAAAAAAAAGACAUGCCACUAAAACAGUGUGUAAAUGAUUUUUACUCUUCAUGCAUUCGACUGGGAAUAGGCUGAAGUUAGGGAAGAAAAGGCACGCCUUACACCAGUGCAGGGAGAGAGGGUAAGCCUUGCAGGAGGGCGAUGUGCAACCUACAUACAAAAGGUGCCCUGUACCUGCCCUGGAGGCUGUGCCCUAUGGGGGGGUCCCUAAGUGUCUGUCCUGGAGGAUGUGUCCUAUGGUGGUGGGGGGGUCCCUCAGUGUCUGUCUUGGAGGCUGUGCCCUAUGAGGGGGGGUCCCCCAGUGUCUGUCCUGGAGGCUGUGCCCUAUGAUGGGGGGUCCCU